Molecule: unclassified non-coding RNA, 304 nt
Filed under: uncultured fungus
Lineage: Eukaryota; Fungi
Description: sequence contains ITS1
Rfam family: 5.8S ribosomal RNA (bases 1-105)
Source: RNAcentral
GAAAUGCGAUAAGUAGUGUGAAUUGCAGAAUUUAGUGAAUUAUUGAAUCUUUGAACGCACAUUGCGCCCUUUGGUAUUCCUUAGGGCAUGCCUGUUCGAGCGUUAUUUAAACCUUUAAGCUUAGCUUGGUGUUGGGUGACUGUCUGCCGCCUCUAGGCGGUUGGACUCGCCUUAAAUUGAUUGGCGGCUGGUACUUUGGCUUUGAGCGCAGCAGAAACGCGAACUUGAGGCUGUCGUCCUGGCUCCUAGAAGCUAUCUUUAUAAUUUUGACCUUGGAUUAGGUAGGGAUACCUGCUGAACUUAA